UAGGGAAUCUUCCGCAAUGGACGAAAGUCUGACGGAGCAACGCCGCGUGAGUGAAGAAGGAUUUCGGUUCGUAAAACUCUGUUGUUAGGGAAGAAAAAAUGUAUAGUAACUAUAUACAAAAGAGACGGUACCUAACCAGAAAGCCACGGCUAACUACGUGCCAGCAGCCGCGGUUAUACGUAGGUGGCAAUCGUUGUUCGGAAUUAUUGGGCGUAAAGCGCGCGCAGGUGGUUUAGAAAGUCGGAUGUGAAAGCCCACGGCUCAACCGUGGAGGGUCAUUGGAAACUAAUAAACUUGAGUGCAGGAGAGAAAAGUGGAAUUCCUAGUGUAGCGGUGAAAUGCGUAGAGAUUAGGAGGAACACCGGUGGCGAAAGCGGCUUUUUGGCCUGCAACUGACACUGAGGCGCGAAAGCGUGGGGAGCAAACAGG
Molecule: ribosomal RNA, 429 nt
Filed under: Verrucomicrobiota bacterium
Lineage: Bacteria; Pseudomonadati; Verrucomicrobiota
Description: Verrucomicrobia bacterium partial 16S ribosomal RNA
Rfam family: Bacterial small subunit ribosomal RNA
Source: RNAcentral